RNAcentral lists this long non-coding RNA (4889 nucleotides) under Citrus maxima (pomelo). Its description in RNAcentral is "long non-coding RNA (CMAX_LNC002599)". The record is from RNAcentral. Lineage: Eukaryota; Viridiplantae; Streptophyta; Magnoliopsida; Sapindales; Rutaceae.
AAGCAAUCAAAGCACCCCAGUCAUGACCCACUAGGAAAACUUGAUGGAUACCCAAUUUAUCAAGGAGGCCGAUGAGGUCACCGACAAGAUGGAGUGCCGUGUACGACGUGACCGAGGGUGGGGCGUCGGUGUCGCCGUAGCCACGAAGGUCUGGGGCAAUGGCACGGUAGCCGCGGGAAGAGAGAUAGAGGAGCUGGUUGCGCCAGGAAUACCAGAGUUCAGGGAAGCCGUGAAUGAAGAGAACUGCUGGGCCUGUCCCUAUUGAUGCCACGUGCAUGUUUAUGCCGUUAGUGGCUACUGUUGUGUGCUCUAUUUUCUCCAUUGUUUGUUUGUUUUUCCUUUUGGUGCAACUCUGAAAUCUGAAGGUUUCAGGAUUAGGCUCUGUUUUAGUUGAAUGAAAGGAACGUGAAAGAGGACGGCUCCUCCCGUGUGAUGAUUGGGCUAAAUAUCAAAUGGAUAAGAAGAAUAGGACGGACAAAUGUCAUCCGACUAAAUGAGCAUGCCUAAGAGAGCUGUUUUUAAAAUUAAAAUUUAAAUGAAUGAGAGUUAAGGGCAGGUUUGGAACUGCGGUAACUCAUUAAAUAAGUUAUUUUUGUUGUGAGGAUAAAAUAAGUUGGUAAUUAAAAAAGUAAUUUAGUAUUUGAUAAAUUAUACUGUUAUGAUUGCUCUGAGUUUAAAAAGUAGUGUAUAUGCAUUUGAUAAAUUUUUUUCACGAAAAGAUUAUUUUAUUAUAUAAUGACCAAAAUAAACAUAAUUUUAAAUUACUUUUUAUUUUUUAGAGCAUGUUUAAUAAUGUUUAGACAUGCAUUUUUCUUUUUUAAAUACAUAAAAUUACAUAAAGUGAAAAAAAAAAACUCAAUUAUAUAAAAUCUAAUGAACUUCAUAAUCUGUUACAUAAAAUAUGAUAAAAAUUCAUACUAAUACAUAAUUCAAAUAAAAUAAAAAAGUAAUAUGCAUUACAUUUAUAUUAAAUUUAUUGCCAUAAAACACCUUGUAUAUAGAAAAAAUAUAUAUGAUUGAAUGUUAAAAUCAAUAGUUAUGAAAUUAAUUUUAGAAGUCAUGGUUAAAUUUCAUUUGAAAUUGUUCAUAGUUCAAAGAAAAUUUACGUAAUCAUAUGCAAGUCUUAUUAAAUCUUAUAAUAAAAAAUAAAAGUAAAAUAUCAAAAAUAUAAAUUUAUUGGAUCAAAGCUUUAUAAUGUAAGGAUAAUUCGAUUAUGUUGGUAAUGUGAUAUUUAAUGGCUUAUAUAUUAGGUGUAUAGAAAAAUAAGACAUAAUUAUCUUUCUAUUAAAAUAUUAAGAUUAUAAUAGGAAUUUAAAAAAUGAGUAGUGAUUUAUUUAAUAAGCUGCUUAUGAAAAGUAACUCCCUACCUGACUUUUAAAAAUUGCUGUCAAAAUAGAAAAAAAUUAUGAAAUAAGCAGAUUUUGUAAAGUUUACAAAAUAUUACUUUUGUCAAAAAUUAUGAAAUAAGCAACUUAUUAAAUUUCAACUUCAAUCUCAAACGAGGCAUAAGUAAUCCAAUUUUCCUAAUGUUGCUUAUCCCAGUAUUGGUGGCUUUGGGUGAGUUCUGUCUCUGCACUAGACCGGAUGAAUGGGUCCACCAACUAAUUACCAACUACUCAUUAUUAGUUUUCGUUACUAGAUAAAAACAUUGCACUGGAGAUUAUAGAACUGAUAAAAUUAAAUAUGAUCCAACUAUCUAAUAUGAAUACAAUAUAUGAGUAUGAGCCAUUAAAUUUGAUAGGAUAAUUAAAUAGGUCAAAUAUGGAUCGAUACGAUUUGUUUCAUAUUAAAUUAGAAUUAAAAUUCUUUACUCAUUUAUUCGAUUAAUAAUAGAUUAUAUUUUAUAUUCUAAAUUAAUUCUAGAUUCUUUUAACAAAACUCAAAUAUUGACCAUAAUUUUCUUUUUUCUUUUUUAUUUUUAAAAUGAACAUAUGCACAUUAUUUUAUUUAUAAAAUUUUAUAUAAAUUUAGAACUUCAAUAGUAUAAAUAUCUAAUAUUUUGAUAAUAAAUAAGUAAAGAAUUAUAUAUAUAUAUGUAAAACAAUAUGUAAAUGUUUUACGUAAAUUUUAUUAAAUACAUAGAUAUUAAGCGGAUUAUUAGAUAAUCCAAUAAUUUUCCGUGACAAAUUCUCGUCUCAAUAUUUUAACACGAUUAUUAAACAGAUCGUGUUUGGAUCGACUUAAAUUUAACGCGACACGAAACUCAGAAACUAACACGUCCUAUAAUGACCCAAACAUGAUCUAAUGACCUGUUUGGAUCGACUUGAAAGGGUAAACAUGAGUCAUAACAGAGGUUCCACUGACAAAAGCAAAAUAUGUAGACCCCCCAAGAAGUAAGAAGAACACUCUUUGCCACCCACCAAUGGGAUCAUGAUAGAAGAGAUGAAACUAGAGAUCGACCAUCAAUCACAACUCAAAGUAUCAUCGCAUUCUGAGAUUCCCAAUGCCAAUGCUCAAUCAGAACUGCUUGAUGAAAUCAUAAAUGUGUGAGCUGACUUCGUCAGCCUUUUCUUGGUUAAUAAAAUGGGCAACUCCUUCCAUUACUAUUACUUCCUGCAAACCUGGUACAUCUUUCUUGAACCCACCAUUUUGUAUAUAUUCCCUGAUACCAGGGAUGUGAUAUGUGAUAUCCAAGUCACCCACCAUAAACUUAACUGGUAUUUUAAUUUGUGCACCUGUCCAUGGAGCCAGGAGCUCCCAGUUUCUGCAACAAAUCAAAACAAACUUUAUUUUGGGUAACAAUGGAACAUACCCAGUCCUAAACAUGAAACUUACUUUGGGGCUCUGGUAACAUUGAUAUACAUAUGCAAGUUGUAAAGUCAAAUUGCCUGUUUCAUACAAAGAUUACAAAAAUACUUAAAUAGAUGUGACAAUUCUUCAUGUGCAUUGAUAUCAACUAGGGACCACGAAUGUCUAAGUUAAGUGCUUCAUAUCAGUCUCAGGCUUCAUAUGAAAGGCAAGAAUUAUGGACUUUCUAUGAAUAUUACUGCAAAAUUUCGGCAAAAAGAUCAUUUUUCAAAGGCUAAUUUGCCUGAUAUCUGAUUUAACUCUUUAAUUUAUCAUAGCUGGUACAGUGGUUGUAUGAGAACUCACAGGUCUAAACAUCGAUAAUAGUUCAAUCCUCCAGUGAAGCCUUUCUGGCUAAAUUUUGAGGCAUAAUAGUUGACAUCUUCUUCUGACAGCCAAGAAGGCAAGGUUCGAAGAUCCGGUAGACCUCUAAAUCCUAUUUCUUUAGGUACACAUGGUGGCUUCGGACUGCGACCUCCCAAUAAUUUCUUUAUCAGUCUUGCAGUAUCAAUCUGAGCGAAAUCUUCUUCAGCCACUCCAGGUUCCUACAGCAUAUCUCAGCAAUGUUUUGAGAGAGUCAAUUCAAGAGAUUUGAGAACAACACAACAAAAAUAAGCAUUUAGAAUAAGGAAUCACAUAAUGAACUUGAUAGAGCAUUAUGGGAUUGGAACCCAGAAAUCGUGUCAAACAAUGACAGACUCAAGACUGUGUUAGUGACAAUAACAUUCCGACAAUAUGCUGAAUAAUGAAAGACAAUAAACCAGAGAAUAUUAUAAUAUUCUUAUUUCCUUUUUACUGUAGAUUAUAUUUAGCAAUAAAGAAAACCUUAUUUUAUUAACAAAAUUCAACGAGAUAUACAAAUUUUCUAGUACUUGAAUACCACAAUGAAAUCAUGUUAAGAAUUAUUAAUGGAAAUAUAAAAAUGCCAACAACUGGAACUUUACUAUAUGGCAAAUUUGAUACUGAUGUAUUUUGAUAAGAAGACUAAAAGAUAAAAUUUAAGCCCAACCAUUGUAUAAAUCCAACCAAAGCCAAAAUGAAGCUACAACAAAGAGCCACAGACUGUCAGUCAAAAUAAACAAUACAUCAAGAGUUAUGUCAUUUGAGAGCCCUGCUCUGAUCUAAAAAUGGCUAAGAGAUCUAAUUAAAUUUCCGAGCAAAGAUGUAGCCAAAUGCAAUAGCUAUAAACUUGUUUAAGCUUGUGAUAUCAGAUUCUGGGGCAGUAAUUUUGUUACAUCAAAGUCCUACUUUACCGAAUAAAUAAAUGCAACAAUAAAAUUAAUUAAACAUAUGCAUAUAAAUGCUAUUGAUUGACAUUUGACCCAAGAAAAUACAGUUGGAUACAUACAAAUGUUCCCAGCCUAAGGAAGAAUAUUGGCAACAUAACAGCCGGCCAUUGCCAUUUUCCCAACACAACACAAUUGUCCUAAUUCAGAAAUAUAUUAAAUGCAUAACAUCCGAGUACCCAAUUCAGAUCCAUUUGUUCAUUUAACACUCCUACUUAAAAAGCAAAACAAGUUUCUUAAUUUGACAGGAAACGAAAACAGAAAGGUUCUCAAAUCAACGGGGCGAUUAUUGUUUUUUUUUUUUUAAAUUUAAUUACAGUACUAAAUUAAAACAAAACAAAACAAAAGAAAAGAGGUAAAAAAAAAAAAAAAAACACCUGAAACCUGCAAAUAUAGAAGUCAUCACCAAACAAAGCCCUGUAUUGAUCGACAGGUUUCGUCGCAGGGUUACUGGGACGAAACACAACGCUUAAGUUGACCAAAGCUUUGACUCGGUCAGGACGAAGCAAACAAAAAUACCAAGCAAUCGAAGCACCCCAGUCAUGGCCCACCAAAAAGACCUGCUCGAUACCGAAUUCAUCGAGGAGACCGAUAAGGUCACCGACGACGUGGAGUGCCGUGUAGGACGUGAUGGAGGGCGGGGCGUCGGUGUCGCCGUAGCCACGAAGGUCGGGGGCAAUAGCGCGGUAGCCGCGGGAAGAGAGGUAGAGGAGCUGCUUGCGCCAGGAGUACCAGAGUUCAGGGAAGCCGUGAAGGAAAAGGACGGCUGGGCCGGUCCCUAUCGAUGCCACGUGCAUGUUUAUGCCGUUCGUGGCC